Molecule: unclassified non-coding RNA, 374 nt
Filed under: fungal sp.
Lineage: Eukaryota; Fungi
Description: partial internal transcribed spacer region
Rfam family: Eukaryotic small subunit ribosomal RNA (bases 1-46)
Source: RNAcentral
AAGUCGUAACAAGGUUUCCGUAGGUGAACCUGCGGAAGGAUCAUUAUUACGUAUCCACGUAUCAAACCAAAUUGUGAACUGUCUCCACAUGUAUGAGUGAGGGUAUCUGCGAGUGUUCUAAAAACGAUUGCAUUAAAAAUGCACAGUUGGAGGGUCUUUAUGACUCUAGAGAAGACACUCGGUCCUAGGCCUCGCCUAGCUCGCUGUAACAUGUGGUUUAUUUUUUUUAAUUCUCGUCCACUGUGCGACACAUUUAUUAACCCCUUGUAAACAAUUGAACUAAACUACCUUGAGGAACAAGCACUUUGGUGUUUGCAACUCUAGGAUAAACCGAAACUUAAGAACAACUCUUAACAACGGAUAUCUUGGUUCUC